Molecule: non-coding RNA, 25 nt
Filed under: Mus musculus (house mouse)
Lineage: Eukaryota; Metazoa; Chordata; Mammalia; Rodentia; Muridae
Source: RNAcentral
UAACGACAGCUAUAGAUGCUGGAUG